CCAAUAGCGUAUAUUAAAGUUGUUGCAGUUAAAAAGCUCGUAGUUGAAUUUCGGGAUCAAUUUAUUGGUCGUGCCAACGGUACGCACUGGUACAAUUGGUUUCUCCCUUCUGACGAAGCGUGAUGUCAUUAACUUGGUGUCGUGGGGAAUCAGGACUGUUACUUUGAAAAAAUUAGAGUGUUUAAAGCAGGCUUUGGCUUGAAUACAUUAGCAUGGAAUAAUGAAAUAGGACGUUUGAUCUUAUUUCGUUGGUUUCUAAGAUCGACGUAAUGAUUAAUAGGGAUAGUUGGGGGCAUUAGUAUUCAAUUGUCAGAGGUGAAAUUCUUGGAUUUAUUGAAGACUAACUACUGCGAAAGCAUUUGCCAAGGAUGUUUUCAUUAAUCAAGAACGAAAGUUAGGGGAUCGAAGACGAUCAGAUACCGUCGUAGUCUUAACCAUAAACUAUGCCGACUAGGGAUCGGAUGAUGUUAAUUUUUUAAUGACUCAUUCGGCGCCUUACG
Molecule: ribosomal RNA, 500 nt
Filed under: uncultured Glomeromycotina
Lineage: Eukaryota; Fungi; Glomeromycota
Description: partial small subunit ribosomal RNA
Rfam family: Eukaryotic small subunit ribosomal RNA
Source: RNAcentral